CCCACUCCCGGCACGGGGNNGUAGUGACGAAAAAUAACGAUACGGGACUCAUCCGAGGCCCCGUAAUCGGAAUGAGUACACUUUAAACCCUUUAACGAGUAUCCAUUGGAGGGCAAGUCUGGUGCCAGCAGCCGCGGUAAUUCCAGCUCCAAUAGCGUAUAUUAAAGUUGUUGCGGUUAAAAAGCUCGUAGUUGGACCUGUGUCCCACGCUGUCGGUUCACCGUUCGUCGGUGUUUAACUGGCAUGCCCGUGCGGACGUCCUGCCGGUGGAUGCGGUCGGCCGUGGGCUUCUGGUCCGCGCGUCGGCGGUCCGAUGCAAUCCUACCGCGGUGCUCUUCACCGAGUGUCGAGGUGGGCCGGCACGUUUACUUUGAACAAAUUAGAGUGCUCAAAGCAGGCAGUGGUUCGCCUGAAUAUUGUGUGCAUGGAAUAAUGGAAUAGGACCUCGGUUCUAUUUUGUUGGUUUCCGGAACUUGAGGUAAUGAUUAAUAGGGACAGACGGGGGCAUUCGUAUUGCGACGUUAGAGGUGAAAUUCUUGGAUCGUCGCAAGACGAACCUGAGCGAAAGCAUUUGCCAUGGAUGUUUUCCUUAAUCAAGAACGAAAGUUAGAGGUUCGAAGGCGAUCAGAUACCGCCCUAGUUCUAACCAUAAACGAUGCCAGCUAGCGAUCCGCCGAAGUUCCUCCGAUGACUCGGCGGGCAGCUUCCGGGAAACCAAAGCUUUUGGGUUCCGGGGGAAGUAUGGUUGCAAAGCUGAAACUUAAAGGAAUUGACGGAAGGGCACCACCAGGAGUGGAGCCUGCGGCUUAAUUUGACUCAACACGGGAAACCUCACCAGGCCCGGACACCGGAAGGAUUGACAGAUUGAGAGCUCUUUCUUGAUUCGGUGGGUGGUGGUGCAUGGCCGUUCUUAGUUGGUGGAGCGAUUUGUCUGGUAA
Molecule: ribosomal RNA, 938 nt
Filed under: Parapachymorpha zomproi
Lineage: Eukaryota; Metazoa; Arthropoda; Insecta; Phasmatodea; Phasmatidae
Description: SSU rRNA
Rfam family: Eukaryotic small subunit ribosomal RNA
Source: RNAcentral